GCUGGCGGCGUGCCUAAUACAUGCAAGUCGAACGCUUCUUUCCUCCCGAGUGCUUGCACUCAAUUGGAAAGAGGAGUGGCGGACGGGUGAGUAACACGUGGGUAACCUACCCAUCAGAGGGGGAUAACACUUGGAAACAGGUGCUAAUACCGCAUAACAGUUUAUGCCGCAUGGCAUAAGAGUGAAAGGCGCUUUCGGGUGUCGCUGAUGGAUGGACCCGCGGUGCAUUAGCUAGUUGGUGAGGUAACGGCUCACCAAGGCCACGAUGCAUAGCCGACCUGAGAGGGUGAUCGGCCACAC
RNAcentral lists this ribosomal RNA (300 nucleotides) under Enterococcus faecalis. RNAcentral describes it as "bacterial SSU rRNA". It matches the Rfam family "Bacterial small subunit ribosomal RNA", at positions 35 to 313 of the family's 1533-position model. The record is from RNAcentral. Lineage: Bacteria; Bacillati; Bacillota; Bacilli; Lactobacillales; Enterococcaceae.